UCCUACGGGGGGCAGCAGUGGGGGAUAUUGCACAAUGGGGGGAACCCUGAUGCAGCGACGCCGCGUGGGUGAAGAAGCGCCUCGGCGCGUAAAGCCCUGUCAGCAGGGAAGAAAAUGACGGUACCUGAAGAAGAAGCCCCGGCUAACUACGUGCCAGCAGCCGCGGUAAUACGUAGGGGGCAAGCGUUAUCCGGAAUUACUGGGUGUAAAGGGAGCGUAGACGGCAAUGCAAGUCCGGAGUGGAAUGCGGCAGCUCAACUGCCGAACUGCUCUGGAAACUGUAUGGCUUGAGUGCAGGAGGGGUA
Molecule: ribosomal RNA, 305 nt
Filed under: uncultured bacterium
Lineage: Bacteria
Description: bacterial SSU rRNA
Rfam family: Bacterial small subunit ribosomal RNA
Source: RNAcentral